This is a non-coding RNA of Acanthosepion pharaonis, 113 nucleotides long. The record is from the annotation of a GenBank genome assembly. NCBI's taxonomy places the organism in Eukaryota, Metazoa, Mollusca, Cephalopoda, Sepiida, Sepiidae.
UUACGGCCAUAUCACGUUGAAACACCGGUUCUCGUACGAUCACUGAAAUUAAGCAACGUCAAGCCUGGACGGUGCCUAGAUGGGUGACCGGUUGGUAAUACAAGGUGUUGUAA